RNAcentral lists this long non-coding RNA (402 nucleotides) under Salmo trutta (river trout). RNAcentral's name for it is "lncRNA (ENSSTUG00000014649.1)". The record is from RNAcentral. Lineage: Eukaryota; Metazoa; Chordata; Actinopteri; Salmoniformes; Salmonidae.
AAUAAUAAUGUGUAACUCCAUUAUACCUGCGCAGUUUGCGCAGUGAAGAUGCCCUUCACUUCAGUACAGGCAAUAGAAAACCCUUUGCAACUGCGCAGGAUGUGUGACAAACCAUAUGUGCUGUAUCGGCGAACAACGAGGCUGAACAUUGUGGAUAAAAAUAAAAACAAGGAGAAUGGGGAAGAAACAGAAAAAGUCAGGCGAUGACAGUGCUAAAGACGAUGGCAUCGACCUUGACGCCCUAGCAGCAGAAAUCGAAGGAGCGGGAGCCUCCAAGGAGCAAGGUAAAGGAAAGGCGAAGAAGAAGAAAGACAAAAAGAAAGAUGAUUUUGAUGAAGACGACAUCCUGAAGGAGCUGGAGGAACUGUCUCUUGAAACCACAGGAGCUAAAGGCAGCAAGGU